RNAcentral lists this ribosomal RNA (1029 nucleotides) under Mycobacterium sp. RNAcentral's name for it is "bacterial SSU rRNA". It matches the Rfam family "Bacterial small subunit ribosomal RNA", at positions 99 to 1142 of the family's 1533-position model. The record is from RNAcentral. Lineage: Bacteria; Bacillati; Actinomycetota; Actinomycetes; Mycobacteriales; Mycobacteriaceae.
CGAACGGGUGAGUAACACGUGGGUGAUCUGCCCUGCACUUUGGGAUAAGCCUGGGAAACCGGGUCUAAUACCGAAUAUGACCACGGACCGCAUGGUUCGUGGUGGAAAGCUUUUGCGGUGUGGGAUGAGCCCGCGGCCUAUCAGCUUGUUGGUGGGGUGAUGGCCUACCAAGGCGACGACGGGUAGCCGGCCUGAGAGGGUGACCGGCCACACUGGGACUGAGAUACGGCCCAGACUCCUACGGGAGGCAGCAGUGGGGAAUAUUGCACAAUGGGCGCAAGCCUGAUGCAGCGACGCCGCGUGAGGGACGACGGCCUUCGGGUUGUAAACCUCUUUCAGCACAGACGAAGCGCAAGUGACGGUAUGUGCAGAAGAAGGACCGGCCAACUACGUGCCAGCAGCCGCGGUAAUACGUAGGGUCCGAGCGUUGUCCGGAAUUACUGGGCGUAAAGAGCUCGUAGGUGGUUUGUCGCGUUGUUCGUGAAAACUCACAGCUCAACUGUGGGCGUGCGGGCGAUACGGGCAGACUGGAGUACUGCAGGGGAGACUGGAAUUCCUGGUGUAGCGGUGGAAUGCGCAGAUAUCAGGAGGAACACCGGUGGCGAAGGCGGGUCUCUGGGCAGUAACUGACGCUGAGGAGCGAAAGCGUGGGGAGCGAACAGGAUUAGAUACCCUGGUAGUCCACGCCGUAAACGGUGGGUACUAGGUGUGGGUUUCCUUCCUUGGGAUCCGUGCCGUAGCUAACGCAUUAAGUACCCCGCCUGGGGAGUACGGCCGCAAGGCUAAAACUCAAAGAAAUUGACGGGGGCCCGCACAAGCGGCGGAGCAUGUGGAUUAAUUCGAUGCAACGCGAAGAACCUUACCUGGGUUUGACAUGCACAGGACGCCGGCAGAGAUGUCGGUUCCCUUGUGGCCUGUGUGCAGGUGGUGCAUGGCUGUCGUCAGCUCGUGUCGUGAGAUGUUGGGUUAAGUCCCGCAACGAGCGCAACCCUUGUCCUAUGUUGCCAGCGGGUCAUGCCGGGGACUCGU